Molecule: ribosomal RNA, 484 nt
Filed under: uncultured bacterium
Lineage: Bacteria
Description: partial 16S ribosomal RNA
Rfam family: Bacterial small subunit ribosomal RNA
Source: RNAcentral
AUUGAACGCUGGCGGCAGGCCUAACACAUGCAAGUCGAGCGGAUGAAGGGAGCUUGCUCCUGGAUUCAGCGGCGGACGGGUGAGUAAUGCCUAGGAAUCUGCCUGGUAGUGGGGGAUAACGUCCGGAAACGGGCGCUAAUACCGCAUACGUCCUGAGGGAGAAAGUGGGGGGUCUUCGGACCUCACGCUAUCAGAUGAGCCUAGGUCGGAUUAGCUAGUUGGUGGGGUAAGGGCCUACCAAGGCGACGAUCCGUAACUGGUCUGAGAGGAUGAUCAGUCACACUGGAACUGAGACACGGUCCAGACGCCUACGGGAGGCAGCAGUGUGGAAUAUUGGACAAUGGGCGAAAGCCUGAUCCAGCCAUGCCGCGUGUGUGAAGAAGGUCUUCGGAUUGAAAAGCACUUUAAGUUGGGAGGAAGGGCAGUAAGUUAAUACCUUGCUGUUUUGACGUUAACAACAGAAUAAGCACCGGCUAACUUCGUG